UUUUACACUUACACCCUUAAGUUGAAGAAAAGAUCACAGCCAGACCCUCGGGCGAGGCGGACAAAGGUUGGCAAACAGACAGGGUCGGACGAGACGGAACUGGGGUCGGGCGGAUAGGAGGGGUCGGUCGAGGCGGACUUAGGGUCGGCACUCACCUUCUUCCUGAAAGGAAAGCUUGGGGUCGGGAAGAGGCAGACUUGGGCACUGAACUAAAGCUUUGAGCAGGGACUAA
This 232-nucleotide long non-coding RNA is filed under the name Setaria viridis. RNAcentral describes it as "long non-coding RNA (SVIR_LNC005246)". The record is from RNAcentral. Lineage: Eukaryota; Viridiplantae; Streptophyta; Magnoliopsida; Poales; Poaceae.